Sceloporus undulatus (fence lizard) is the source of this 823-nucleotide long non-coding RNA. RefSeq lists it as uncharacterized. Lineage: Eukaryota; Metazoa; Chordata; Lepidosauria; Squamata; Phrynosomatidae. The transcript is spliced from 4 exons. The record is from RefSeq and is a predicted model, not a curated record.
UGAGAGGAAAGAAAGAAAGAUGUAUUCACAGAACAGCUAAUAGGCAGAACCCUAAGCCUACCAUGGUUUCUGGAUAAUGAGUUGUCAGCCGUGAUAGUAAUACUAGGUCUGAAGUGGAAUUAUUGAGCUGAUUGUGGGAAACCUCUUGUAUCUACAUUCUGCCAGAGUCCAAGUAACAAGCUGCAAACAAGGCAAAAGUCGAGCUGAACCCACGAAAAGGUGGAGAAUUUGCACCCUCAUUUCUCAUCUGGAGAUGACCCACAAAACUAGAGCAAUCUGGCAACCAUAACUACUGCUGAAUUGAGUAGAAGCAUGAACCCUAGAUGAGAUUCAACAGGUGGAUCCUGGGCAUAGAAACUGCCUUAGAAUCAAAGGAUUCUGAAUUCACCAGGAAUUUAUUAUGAAUAUUAGAAGUGAAUUGAGCUCACAGUCCUUCAGCAACAAUGACAACACUCCAGGUUACUAUAGAAAGUGAUACAUGCAGCUCUCACUAAACAUUUUUGAUCCUGAAAAUACACUUGGUGGCAAACCAAAAUGGCUUCAGUAUAAUUGGAAUAACAACAACAACAACAGCAACAACAAUAUGGUUUUGGACUCAAGGUGGCUUACAACACUUAAAAGAGACAUCGCUGAAAAAUAUACUAAAAACAAGCUUAGCAAUCCAUAAAAUUAAGAGUUAUUUUAAAAAAAAUAGACCAAAACUAGAACAGAUCGGCAGUACAGUACAAUUCCACAAGGCCUGGUUCCCUUGAGCAGUGAGUCUUCAAAAGGGCUGCUGAAAUAAUAAUAAUAAAAAGUCUUAACUUGCCUGCAGAAAGAUUGC